GUCUGGUUCAGUCUACUCCUGCACUAGGACAUCUAAGUUGGUAUUACCGUCAUACCGCGGGUCUGAGCUUGUCACUGUUUUCUCCUCACUCCUUUCUCCGUCUCCGGCCGGUUGACGAAUUGACGGUGCUGGUGCUGGAGCUGCUUUGCUGAAAUUGACGAGCUGACAUGCAAAAGCAAUCCACCCUGAAGGGACUUGAGAGUUUUGGGCUUAAAGGUCACAUCAGGUCACCCAGAGGCUUUUUCAGAGCCUUGUAGGAGGAACACACCAGGACAAAUGAGAACCGCAUCAGAAGCAGAUAUUCCAUAUUCAAAUGGUUCCAAUGGGAUUCAGCCGUAAUGCCACGAGUGCCAUUUUCAUAUUUUACCAGCGGAAAACUUACACAGACUGUCAAAAUGGCACAAAUCAUUGUGUCACGCAAUGGCUUUGUGCCUAGACAUGUGAGGAUGUGCUAAA
Sardina pilchardus (European sardine) is the source of this 456-nucleotide long non-coding RNA. RefSeq lists it as uncharacterized. Lineage: Eukaryota; Metazoa; Chordata; Actinopteri; Clupeiformes; Clupeidae. The transcript has 3 exons. The record is from RefSeq and is a predicted model, not a curated record.